This 91-nucleotide transfer RNA is filed under the name Saprospiraceae bacterium. RNAcentral describes it as "tRNA-Ser". It matches the Rfam family "tRNA". Rfam says of the family: Transfer RNA (tRNA) molecules are approximately 80 nucleotides in length. Their secondary structure includes four short double-helical elements and three loops (D, anti-codon, and T loops). Lineage: Bacteria; Pseudomonadati; Bacteroidota; Saprospiria; Saprospirales; Saprospiraceae. The record is from RNAcentral.
GGCAGGUCUACCGUAUUGGCGAGCGGCACAGUCUUGAAAACUGUUUGAUUCUGAAAAGGGUUUGAGGGUUCGACUCCGUCACCUGCCUCCA